Long non-coding RNA from Pseudopipra pipra, 4147 nucleotides. RefSeq lists it as uncharacterized. The transcript is spliced from 5 exons. NCBI's taxonomy places the organism in Eukaryota, Metazoa, Chordata, Aves, Passeriformes, Pipridae. The record is from RefSeq and is a predicted model, not a curated record.
UCAAAAAAAACAAAGGCUGCAUGAAGAAGGUUGGCCAGGUUAAAAAACUGAAUCUGCUGCAAUCACAUAGGAUGCUAAAGCCAAUACAAGGCAGGAGUAAAUAAUCCAGCUGAUAGCAGGAACAAGUAGAAGGAAGCAAACAAAAGAUGAACCAAAUGAGCUGACAAAAAGCAUGCCUUUGAAAGAAGGAGAUGGAGAAAAAAACAGGCUUGGAAGGAACCCUAAAAUGUACAGGGGUGAAGUGAAUGCAUGAACUAUGGUGUGCCAAGCAAGGGGUCACACUGACUAUGCCACAGUUUCUUUUCUACUCAUCCAAAGGGCCAUAACUGUUGUCAUCCAACUAGAAAUCAGCUGGAUAAUACACCUGGAUCCACUACCUGGGAAAUGUUCCUACCCUGAACAGCACAGCUGAAAGAAAGGAAUGAAAGGAAGUAGAAGUAGGGGUGAAAGGACAAGCUUGUUGCUACUACAGUUACCCUCAUCUGAUGUUACAAUUGCGGGUAUGUAUAAGGACAGAGUAUUCAAGAAGGACAUUCAGCAUGUCUGGGAAACUCAGUCCUUAAUGGCAUUCUGCAGUAUCAUAAACAGCAGCCUUCUCCUAGUUUUCCAUUUUCCAGGUUUGUAAGUUUUGAACUAUUACCAAAUAAGAUAUGCAUAUCAAUCUAUAAAUUAAAUAAUCAUUUAUAAGAAGAGACAUCAAUACCAAAUAAAAGAUAAAAACUCACAAAGAUGAAACGUCAGUCAAAACCUAAAAUUGUCCUGAAAAUGCAAAUUUUUAGAAAGAAUCAAAAUACAGAAUCAAAAUACAGCCCCACCAAACCAAACCAAACCACUGAUGCAAAGUAAUAUAAAGUGAUAUAAUUUUCUUACUUACAUUCACUUUUACAGCAUAUAGUGCUUUAAGUUUUAUUCUGCAUCCAGCAACAUGAAAAUUUUUUAAAAGUGAAAGUUGAACUAUCAUGUGAUUGAAGAGGCACCUAAAAAAGCUCCUACAAAAACUAUCUGUAUUUGGUAAGACAUGGAAUCAAAUAAUGAGAGAGCACACUAUACAAGUUUGAAAUUCAAGUCUAUUUAGCAGCAAUUCAUAACUGGUGAACAGUUAAUACUCAAAACCAUGAACUGAGAACAAAGUAAAUGCAGACAAAAGCCAUAACUAAGCUCAUACAGCAAUGUCCAUACAUUUCAAGGAAGUAGGUAAAUCAGAGAUAAUUAUGUGAAAGAUGAUGUAGGAACAAGCAAAUCUUACAUGUGGGAAAUUAAAAUACAUAUCUUUGAAAAUUUAGCAUUGAAAACCUUGAAAAGUACUGAUUUGUUCCCAGUAAAAUAUUCAAGGAUUUCAAAAUAAACAAGAUGAAGAUACCAGGAAAGGUAGUGGCAUAAAGAAGAAGGGCUAAAGGUGUUGACAUAAUAAAUGCAUUUUGUUGAUGUAAGGAAAGAAGACAAAAAUAAAAGGACUAUAAUAGAUAAUUCUGUCUACUGAUUUUUAAGGUCAAGAACUUGUUUUUAACCUCGAUGCUUGCAAUGAAUAUAUCACUUGUUCCACAGAAGAUUUCUUAUAAAACAAUGGGGAAGCAGAUGCUGGUUUUAAACUCAAGCAGAAUAGCAAGCCAGAAUGUGAGAAAAAUAGGCUGUUUCUAAAGGUCAAAACAUUUGACUUAAAACAAAAAUACGUUUAACUAUUUGAAUACUAAUUUCAUUUACAAAAAUUUAUGUAUGUGAAUGGAAAAAAAUACCACUUUCUAGACUAUAAUAACAUUAAAUAGAACGCCAUCAUAAUAUAAUGCCUGAUGUCUUUAAUUCUAAACAUACAUAUGCAUACUCACAUACAUACUUUCCUGAAUAUACUAUACUUAGGGAUUUGUUUUCCAUAAAGCUAUAGCAUGAUCACUUGAAAAAAUUCCAGCGUUUUUAUUUUUUUCAAAGAACAGUAGAAUGUCCUAGUGGAUGCAAAAGUCUAUGUUUGCUGUUAUGCUGUUAAUUUUAAUCAUAUAUAUUUGUGUUAGAGACCCAUAAUUGCUGUCAUUCUGGAUCAUUUGUUGCACCUAGCCCAGUCUAUUUGCCCACAAUCAUUGACAACAGAUGUUAUUACAUCUUGUAACAGAUGUUGUAUUCGCUGUACAUUAAAGUACAAGUGGUGCUGAAGAAAUAAUCAAAACAGAAAGAGAAGGUAGAAUCUGCCCUUAUCAAAGAUAAUUUCUUGGGAUCCACAGGUCUGAGUAACAGCACACACCAAUAAAAAUAUUCAGCUCUUUGUUGUGGAUCUCUUUACAGCUCUGUAGCUCAGUUCUUACCUGACAUUCUCAUUUGAUUUCAUAUCUGGUCACCUCUGCUGUUUGAAUCAUGUUGUCCCAUAGUGGUGAAUUUUUGACAGGAUCAUCCUACCUUGAUUCUUACCAGAAUCAAGGAUUUACAAAUGUAAUGAAACUUAUUGGAAAAUGCAGUUUAAUUAACUUGUUGACCUCCUACUGAGGUCAGAAGUUUCAGGCUGGUUUUUUGGUGUUUGGGGUUUUUUUGUUGUUGUUUUUGUUUGUUUGGUUUGUGGUUUGUUUUGUUUUGUUUUUUUGGGGUUUUUUGCAUUUAUAUGUAUUAAGACAAAUAAUUAAAUGCUGUUUAAAAAAAUAAAUCUGUAAUUAAGUGGCAAAUUUCUGGAAGACAGAUUUCAACAGAGUUUUCCAAAGAGCUGUCUCCUCAUUCCUCUUCUCCCCUCAAGUCAGCAUAUUGGAAGCAUGCAUUUGUUCUGUAGUAAUGAGGAGUUAAUUUACCACUUCUUCAUUCCUUAUUUGGAGAAAUCCAUAUGAAGAGAGGAAACUAUUUUUGCUCUAGGAACAUAUGGAAAGAAACAGGAGAAUUCACAUCUCACAUUAUCCACAAUCCUCAAAAUCAGAAUAAAGACAAAGAUAUUAAAAAUCAACUAACCGAACACCUUUGUAUCUUUUGAAAGUAUAGUUAAAUAUCAUCACAUUUCUCCCAUUGUUGUCUCUAUUUCUGCUUAUUAUUAUGAUUACAUCUAAAACAUUCUUAUUCUAUUCUGUUGUCUAUGAAAGUUGAUUCCUUGGCUUGAUAGAGCAUAAGGUCUUGGGUUGUAAUUCACUUUAUAUUGUGUCAGUAUCAGUUUGACUACACCCUCUUCUAUUCUGCAAGGAAUUUGUUUUUGUCUUCAGUCUUGCCUUUGUUGGAUCAAGUUGCUAGCUACCAUAAGGUGUCAAAGUCUCCUAAAAUUAUGUUACUGAUAAAUCUGUCCCAUGUUUAUUGGCCAGAAAAAGCUACUGAGAAGUGUCAAUGUUAAGUUAAAUAUUUUGCUUAGAUACUGGGCUGUGGAAGAAGACAGAGUAGUGCAACUUUUUUUCUCUUUUGGUAAAGUAGUAUCUUAAAGUGGUUUAGCUUACAAUUUGAAAAAAAUAAUCAUUUGUACAUAUUGUACAAACUCAUUAUUUCAUAUUGGUUAUGCUCUUAUUCAGAAGAGUUGAGUCUGAAGUUUUCAGUUUGAAGGUCCUAAAAACUUCUUCAUUAUGGUAAAAAGUAAACCUUUUUGUAGCUGCCACAAUGGUAUAGGUACAUUGCAAACCCCCAAAAUAUCCAGUUCAUCCUAUACAAAAUGUAGGAGUCUAAAUUCAGAUUACUUUUAAGUUGUUAAUAUUUCUUGUUUCCUCACCAGAUAAACUUACUGGAGGAAGUUGACUGGUGUAACUGAACAAAGCUGAAAUUGUUUUGUAAAACUAAAAGGCAUGAAUAAUUUUCUUUGUUGCAUUCAUCAGAAAAAAAUGGAACAAUCUCUAAGGAAAUAUUCAGCUUUCUCACCACAAUCACCACUGCAGAUUUCUUGUCAUCAAUAGCAUUUUACCAAUAACAUAUGCAUAUGUGUAUUAUGAAAAUAAAUUUUGAUUUUUUUUUAUUUUGACAUUACAUCAAACCACCAUUUUCAGUCUUCCAGACUGAAAGACACAAUAAGACAAGCUGAUCAUAUCAGUUUGUAAAUACAUCUAUACAGUAAAUAUUCUAACUACAUUUCUGAACUUCAUUAAUAACUUCUUUAAUAACAAAGUAAUAUGCCAUGGUCGAAAUGUUGCACUCAAAUUUCUAAUUUAUUCUUAUUUGGGCACAUAAGGAGGCAAUGAGUGUAUUAAAACCCCAGCAUGAGCGAUCAGGA